This is a long non-coding RNA of Phyllostomus discolor (pale spear-nosed bat), 1011 nucleotides long. RefSeq lists it as uncharacterized. The transcript is spliced from 3 exons. Lineage: Eukaryota; Metazoa; Chordata; Mammalia; Chiroptera; Phyllostomidae. The record is from RefSeq and is a predicted model, not a curated record.
GACCUACUACAACCCAGGCAUGUGCCCUGACUAGGACUUGAACAAGCGACCCUUUGGUUCGCAGGCCAGUGUUCAAUCCACUGAGCCACACACCAGCCAGGGAUAAUACACCCUACUCCUGAGAAGAUAAUUUUGUGUAGAUUACUAAAUGAUGAUUAUCACAUAGCCCAUAAAAACAGCGUUUGUAUUUAUUGAGAGAUGUCAUUACUUAAUGAAACAUACUGAGUUGAAAACAUUUUGCAGUUUUGUAUUGUCUAUAUCAUGUUAAAAAUUUAUAAACCUCAUCUGUACAGUGAUGAGAUUUGCUUUCUAUCCAGAUACUUUCUUUUGUAAAUGUGAUUAAUCUUAGGAAUACUCACUCUGGGAGAUUCCUUAUAUAUAAGAAAGCAGAAAUAAGAGUCGAACUUGUUCAUAGGAAGUUACCAAAUGGUGUUCUAAAAUUUGGUUACUGGGUUUUGGACAAUUUCCCUCAAUAGGAUGAUGUAAAUAGUGACUAGAUGACAAGGUUUGUCUAUAGGAACCAUAAUGUGUAAGUUACAUGAUUACUAAAGCAAAACAAAAAUGCAAUCUUUUAGUUUAAAGAAAAGUGCCACUGGCCACUUUGCAGUACACUACAGCCUUCAUUAUUCCUAACACCCCAUUAGCCUAGGACAGUGCUUUUUUAUUCACACACACAGCUCCAUGUCUAGAAGCAGCCUAGCCCAAGCAUGCAAUUCACAUCUGGUCUCCACCCCCUCCAGCCGGAGCACUAAAAAAGGAUAUUGUGGUUCCCCAUCUUGGGUUCAGAAUCUCCAUCUCUGGGGUCUAUUUUAAAUGCAAUUUAGAUGCAGUUCUGUGGCAGAAAAUAUAAAAGAUUUUGGUCACCAAUGAGCAGUACCCCAGCGCCCUUUCCAUAAGUAAGAGAAUGCUUUCUACUCGUUUCAAGCAGUGUGGUUUCAAAAUGAGUUGGAAGAACAGCAAAAAUUCUUUACAUUGUAAACAAUGAAGUUAUUUUUUAAAAAAGUGAAGUGU